Molecule: long non-coding RNA, 604 nt
Organism: Oreochromis aureus
Lineage: Eukaryota; Metazoa; Chordata; Actinopteri; Cichliformes; Cichlidae
Exons: 2
Source: RefSeq, a predicted model, not a curated record
AGAUUGUCAUGGUCUGCAGUGGGUGGCUGGAAUUUCCAUAAGGCUCCUGAACUUACCUGGGAUCCGCCCUUGGGCAGGGCCAACUCCUCCAGCUCCUGCACACCUGGAGCCUAUUGCAGGCAAUCAAGCCAGAGGGAUUUAAGCCACACGUUGAUGUUCGUUCACUGCCAGUUCGUCAUCAACUCAUGUUGGUAACAGGCCUGAUGCGUCAAGUUCUCGCUGUGAUUUACCUUACUAACAAUACUUUCUUGUGCUGCAGUUGCUGUUUUCACCUUGCCUCAUGCUCCACCUCUGGACUCAGGAUACCAAGCAAACAUUUUGAAAAUCACUCUGUGCCUCACCUGCCUGCCCUCCUGCCAUCACACUGAAGACCCCGGAUCUCAGGUCAGCCUUGUCACACCACUCAGCCCCCCCGGAUUUUCAUCACCCCCCUCUCAACACUCUAUGUCCCCAACUGCAAUGUGACUGUUCCCUGCUCAGCUCCACUCUGCAUCUCAGGCCCCGUUCCCUCGCCCUAGCCACGCCACGCCAAACUCCACGUCUUAUUGUUUUUUGUCCUUGCUACGUUUCUUGCACUCCAGCCUAAUAAAUUAUUGUUACAUCA